Molecule: long non-coding RNA, 437 nt
Organism: Megalobrama amblycephala (Wuchang bream)
Lineage: Eukaryota; Metazoa; Chordata; Actinopteri; Cypriniformes; Xenocyprididae
Exons: 3
Source: RefSeq, a predicted model, not a curated record
UUUGCAAUAGUGCAAUACGGCAGUAGCAUCAGGACAGAGCUUUCCCUUCUAGAAAAUAAGGAUCGUGCCAGAGCCUUGCAAAAGGUCAAGAAAAUACAGCAAAUUUUCAAUCUCACCAACACUGCCUCUGCCAUCCAUCAUGUCCUCACAGAUAUUUUCAUCCCUGAGAAUGGAUCAAAAAACAACUCAAAAAAAAUAAUAAUUGUAUUGUCUGACGGGGAGAUUACGAAAGACCCAAUGCAUCUUACUGAUGUUUUGAACAUGCCACAAAUGAAAGAUGUCAUUCGCUAUUCAAUAGGGGUUGGUGAAGAUUUUCUGUCUAAACCUGAAGCAAUAAAAGAGAUGAAGGACAUAGCAGAUCCUGACAAGUAUUUCAGUGUUUCCAGUUAUGCCGGAUUAAAUGACAUUUUGUCCUCACUGGAACAAAAUUUAAUUUG